UUUUAGCCUUGGGUGAAGUAAAAAUCCUUUUUGAGGCUUUUCGGUCCUCAAAAAGAUUACUUUACGAUAUUUU
Molecule: unclassified non-coding RNA, 73 nt
Filed under: Flavobacterium psychrophilum DSM 3660 = ATCC 49418
Lineage: Bacteria; Pseudomonadati; Bacteroidota; Flavobacteriia; Flavobacteriales; Flavobacteriaceae
Description: Flavo-1 RNA
Source: RNAcentral